CAGAGUUGCAAAACUCCCAACCCUUUGUGAACGAACCUGACAGUUGCUUCGGCGGGAGGCCCCUCAGGGUCUCGCCCCCCGCGGGCACCCCGCCGGAGUCCUACAAACUCUUGAUUAUUUUGGCAUCUCUGAGUAUCUUACAAAUAAGUUA
This 151-nucleotide unclassified non-coding RNA is filed under the name uncultured Ascomycota. RNAcentral describes it as "sequence contains ITS1". Lineage: Eukaryota; Fungi; Ascomycota. The record is from RNAcentral.